This 459-nucleotide ribosomal RNA is filed under the name Streptococcus mitis. RNAcentral's name for it is "bacterial SSU rRNA". It matches the Rfam family "Bacterial small subunit ribosomal RNA", at positions 28 to 474 of the family's 1533-position model. The record is from RNAcentral. Lineage: Bacteria; Bacillati; Bacillota; Bacilli; Lactobacillales; Streptococcaceae.
GACGAACGCGGGGGCGUGCUUAAUACAUGCAAGUAGAACGCUGAGGGAGGAGCUUGCUUUCGGGUUGAGUUGCGAACGGGUGAGUAACGCGUAGGUAACCUGCCUGGUAGCGGGGGAUAACUAUUGGAAACGAUAGCUAAUACCGCAUAAGAGUAGAUGUUGCAUGACAUUUGCUUAAAAGGUGCAAUUGCAUCACUACCAGAUGGACCUGCGUUGUAUUAGCUAGUUGGUGAGGUAACGGCUCACCAAGGCAACGAUACAUAGCCGACCUGAGAGGGUGAUCGGCCACACUGGGACUGAGACACGGCCCAGACUCCUACGGGAGGCAGCAGUAGGGAAUCUUCGGCAAUGGACGGAAGUCUGACCGAGCAACGCCGCGUGAGUGAAGAAGGUUUUCGGAUCGUAAAGCUCUGUUGUAAGAGAAGAACGAGUGUGAGAGUGGAAAGUUCACACUGGACG